CAGUGAUGAUGGCAAAGAGGCCACACCCGUUCCCAUCCCGAACACGGAAGUUAAGCUCUUUUGCGCCGAUGGUAGUUGGGGGUUUCCCCCUGUGAGAGUAGGACGUCGCUGGGCC
RNAcentral lists this ribosomal RNA (115 nucleotides) under Planococcus massiliensis. The record is from RNAcentral. Lineage: Bacteria; Bacillati; Bacillota; Bacilli; Caryophanales; Caryophanaceae.